UAAUACGGAGGAUCCGAGCGUUAUCCGGAUUUAUUGGGUUUAAAGGGUGCGUAGGCGGACUUAUAAGUCAGCGGUGAAAGUUUGCAGCUUAACUGUAAAAUUGCCGUUGAAACUGUUAGUCUUGAGUGUAAAUGAGGUAGGCGGAAUGUGUUGUGUAGCGGUGAAAUGCUUAGAUAUAACACAGAACACCAAUUGCGAAGGCAGCUUACUGGGAUACAACUGACGCUGAGGCACGAAAGCGUGGGGAUCAAACAGGAUUAGAUACCCUGGUAGUCCACGCAGUAAACGAUGAAUACUAGCUGUAUGCGAUAUACUGUAUGUGGCACAGCGAAAGCGUUAAGUAUUCCACCUGGGGAGUACGUUCGCAAGAAUGAAACUUAAAGGAAUUGACGG
This 393-nucleotide ribosomal RNA is filed under the name bacterium enrichment culture. Its description in RNAcentral is "bacterial SSU rRNA". It matches the Rfam family "Bacterial small subunit ribosomal RNA", at positions 521 to 916 of the family's 1533-position model. The record is from RNAcentral.